This 631-nucleotide ribosomal RNA is filed under the name uncultured bacterium. RNAcentral's name for it is "bacterial SSU rRNA". It matches the Rfam family "Bacterial small subunit ribosomal RNA", at positions 8 to 685 of the family's 1533-position model. The record is from RNAcentral.
AGAGUUUGAUCCUGGCUCAGAGCGAACGCUGGCGGCAGGCCUAAUACAUGCAAGUCGAACGGAUCCUUCGGGAUUAGUGGCGGACGGGUGAGUAACACGUGGGAACGUGCCCUUUGGUUCGGAACAACUCAGGGAAACUUGAGCUAAUACCGAAUGUGCCCUUCGGGGGAAAGAUUUAUCGCCAUUGGAGCGGCCCGCGUCUGAUUAGCUAGUUGGUGAGGUAAAGGCUCACCAAGGCUACGAUCAGUAGCUGGUCUGAGAGGAUGAUCAGCCACACUGGGACUGAGACACGGCCCAGACUCCUACGGGAGGCAGCAGUAGGGAAUCUUGCGCAAUGGGCGAAAGCCUGACGCAGCCAUGCCGCGUGAAUGAUGAAGGUCUUAGGAUUGUAAAAUUCUUUCAGCGGGGACGAUAAUGACGGUACCCGCAGAAGAAGCCCCGGCUAACUUCGUGCCAGCAGCCGCGGUAAUACGAAGGGGGCUAGCGUUGCUCGGAAUUACUGGGCGUAAAGGGCGCGUAGGCGGAUGUUUAAGUCAGAGGUGAAAGCCCAGGGCUCAACCUUGGAACUGCCUUUGAUACUGGACAUCUUGAGUAUGGGAGAGGUGAGUGGAACUCCGAGUGUAGAGGUGAA